GGGCCCGUAGCUCAACGGCAGAGCAACCGGCUCAUAACCGGUCGGUUGCAGGUUCGAAUCCUGCCGGGCCCACCA
RNAcentral lists this transfer RNA (75 nucleotides) under Pseudomonadota bacterium. Its description in RNAcentral is "tRNA-Ile". It matches the Rfam family "tRNA". Rfam says of the family: Transfer RNA (tRNA) molecules are approximately 80 nucleotides in length. Lineage: Bacteria; Pseudomonadati; Pseudomonadota. RNAcentral also lists the same sequence under 2 other names. The record is from RNAcentral.